This 254-nucleotide ribosomal RNA is filed under the name uncultured bacterium. RNAcentral's name for it is "partial 16S ribosomal RNA". It matches the Rfam family "Bacterial small subunit ribosomal RNA", at positions 524 to 776 of the family's 1533-position model. The record is from RNAcentral.
UACGGGGGGGGCAAGCGUUGUUCGGAAUUACUGGGCGUAAAGGGCUCGUAGGCGGCCAACUCAGUCGGACGUGAAAUCCCUCGGCUUAACCGGGGAACUGCGUCCGAUACUGGAUGGCUUGAGUUCGGGAGAGGGAUGCGGAAUUCCAGGUGUAGCGGUGAAAUGCGUAGAUAUCUGGAGGAACACCGGUGGCGAAGGCGGCAUCCUGGACCAACACUGACGCUGAGUGAGCGAAAGCCAGGGGAGCAAACGGG